UCGCUCACGCUCUCUGCCCUUUGACUCGCCCUCCCCGCCUCACUCAAGCUCACACUCUCUAGUCUCUUCCUCUCUGCCUCGCCCUCUCCGCCUCAAACAUUUUUCUUCCUCUCCGCCUCACUCAAGCUCACGGGUUUGAAGUAUUGGGUUUUUUUUUUCUUUUUGGGUUUUUUCCUUCUCAUCCUUACGGGUUCUCGGUCUCGCCCUCUAAAGUGCUCUGCUGCUCUCUGCUUCUCGGCUUCAUCAGGUUCUCCAUUCCUUCACUUCACUGGACUUCACUGGCUUCAUCUCAGAUUCUCCAUUCAUGUUCUCGGCUUCAUCUUAGGUUCUCCGUUCU
Quercus lobata is the source of this 337-nucleotide long non-coding RNA. RefSeq lists it as uncharacterized. The record is from RefSeq and is a predicted model, not a curated record. The transcript is spliced from 3 exons. Lineage: Eukaryota; Viridiplantae; Streptophyta; Magnoliopsida; Fagales; Fagaceae.